Molecule: long non-coding RNA, 3035 nt
Organism: Amphiprion ocellaris (clown anemonefish)
Lineage: Eukaryota; Metazoa; Chordata; Actinopteri; Pomacentridae
Exons: 3
Source: RefSeq, a predicted model, not a curated record
ACACUGAUGUCCUGUGAGAACAGUAGAGAAGAGCAAAACAUAAAGGCUUGUUUAUGGAGCCUGGUACUAAUCAAGUGAAAGGAGAGGAAAAAAGGAAGCAACAUGAAUGACAUGGGAUUUGAUAAAACAAGGCAGCAUAUUCAGGUUUGUCAAGUCAAACUGGGAGAAGCUGAAACCUCAUAGAAAGAAGAAGUAUUCACACAGGUGCUACACUCAGCUGGGGCUGAACCAAUCUGCGGCUGCAGGUUCGCUACCUGCAGCAUAAAAAAGGGACACACGCAGCACUUAGGAGGAACGGAGAAUGAAUGACCUCGCUCAAACAAAGUGGCUGUGUGCGUGAGGAUCUGCGGCAAACUGUGCAGGACUGCUUCAUCUACAAAAAUCCGGGUAGCAGCCGGUUUUUCACCUAAACCUAUCACCUAAGUUGCCAUCGUUGUUUCCAUGACUUUGCAAUCAUUGCAAAAUAAAAGAGGAAGAAAAGAAAGCAACUGUCUGACUCAUGAGUGGAGCCGUCAUUGAAAGUGGGAGAACACUUGACAAGACCAAAGAACUACAGACUCUUCACAACCUGCUCAAACUCUUGGUACAGGACCUCACCACACGGGUCAAGAAGGCUUCCGUCUCAUUUCUACUCUGAAGCUCACCUUCUCCUGCUCAAACUACUGACAAAUGUUUCUGCUGCUCUAAAGUCUGGUCUCCAGAACUUCCUAAAAACUCUCAGUCUCUUCUGCUGCAGGCUGCUUUGUAGAACCGUUCCAGAAAACCUCACUAAACCACAUGGAGGAGCCUCAAGAUAGUCGUCCAAAUGAAACCAUACAAAAACCAAACUAACACAACCCAAACACUAAAGUCUCCUGCAGCCUACCAGAGAACCUCUGAGAACAGAGAAUCAGGACAGGAACUCUUACCUUCUGGACAACCAACCUUGGUUCAAAAGAAUACAGACUGUGUCUGACCAAAAACCUCUAAAGACUCACUACAGCCAAGAUAAAGACACAACUCAGCUGCACCAAAUCCACUAAUCACUGCAAACAUCAGCACCAUGUGCUAACUGUGGCUAAAGAACCACAUUUACCAAGACAACUAUCCAGUACAAAGCCCUAAAACACACCAAGAAACACAUUAAAGACAAUUUUACUGCUGGAAGCUGCAAGCCAACGCCUAAAGAACAAACUAAGGCAACAGAGCCAAACCCGGUUCAGUGGUGAAGAGAAGCAGAGGAAAUGUUUGUCUGCAGCUAAAUAAAGCAGGAAGACACUGAGCUGCUCAGGUGUUCCUGAUAAUACCAAGCAGCCACCUGGACAGCCAAUAGGAACACAGCUUACUGGGAGUCCAGAGGGCUGGGUUAGUGAAGGAAAUUUAGUUUAAAGUUGAAGCAGAAAGUUAACAAUGAAAGUUGAAAACCACCUUCUGAUACCUGAAAUCUCUGAGUUUUCACACAAAGAACACCUGAACAUGUCAAACUGGUUCCAUAGUAGAACCAUCAUUGUAAAAACGUCAUAGUAUGGUGUGUUGCUCAAAAAACAUUAGGACCCGGCUGUCAGGGGACAAACAUGUAAGAAACAUGAGAACAGAGAGAAUCCAACCAGUAGGUCACAGUUUAUCAUCCCCCAGUCAUCUCCUGAAGUCCAUAUGGUGAGAGACAUCAGUAUCUGGUUGUUAAUUUACCAGAGGAUGCUUAUAAUCAUGCUGAUGUGGUCUGUACUCUACAGUAUUUUAGUGACUCAAUAAAUGCCUAAGUUGUUUUUUUUUUAAAUGCUUUUUAGUUUUUAAGAAACAUUUAAUAGCCUAUAUGUGAUCAAUAAAUGGCCUUUGCCUAUCUUAAGAAAAAUUCACUCAGAACUCUAUGUUAACAGUACUAAAUAAAUCAAUAAAUACAUGCAUACACACAAAAAUAAGUUAAUACAUUAACUGUGUUAAGAUAAGAUUUAGAUUUUUAAAAAAAGUUGUUUAUGUCUUUGCAGAAUCCAGUAUUGCUCACUGGUUGGUCAUUUUGUUAGUUUAAUUUUACUGUUUAAAAUGAUGCCACCUCUUUUCAGACAGAACCUGUGAUAAUAAAACAAUACAAAAUUUUUAGUUCCGUGUUAAUAAAGCACUUAAAGCUUUAAGUAUGGCUAAAUGCUUUUUUCAAAAUUAAAUCUAUCACUCCUUAGGUGGUAGUGGCCCCAAGUUCAGUAAAGUUGGAAAGAUAUUCACAGAUUCGGGCUUCCAGCAUCAAUAACUCAUUAGAUAUAGGUUGUCAAAACAUAAACGGUGCCUCUUUCCCAUUGUUGCAAGGCAGACAAUGUGCUACAAGCCCAGUUUUAUCAAAAGUAGCUGUCUUUCAAGCUACAGGAAUAACAUUGGUGUCUAUGGAGUGAACAGGGUCCGUCUGCAAUUUGCAAAACCGCUGCAACAGUAAAGAGAGACAAAUAUUCAAUAACUUCACUCUUAUACAUUGUAGUGUCACUAAAAUCACUGCAGCCUUCAACUGGCUCCUGCUGACAAAGUGUUUUAACAGAAAUGUAAAUGCUGUAAUUUGAUUCUUUUAAUGAACCAUGUAACUUGAAUGGAUGUGAUGCUGGUGUGACCACAGUGCACAUGUCUGAUGUUGCUCACAGUGGUCCAAGGGACGCUCAGGGAGUUUGUGUGUUUGCUCAAACUCAUGAAAAAUUAGAGGGAACAUUGGUGACCACUGACAUAAUUUCCUUGUGUUUUUUUUUUUUUGCAAUCUACUGACUUUUUAUUGUGAACUAUUGUCUUUUUAUUGCAACCUAUUGUCUUUUUAUUGCAACCUACUGACCUUUUAUUGUGAUUCAUUGUCCUAUGUUUUAUUGUAUGUUUCACUGUUAUGUUUUCUUUGUGUACUUUUUGCAGUGUGCUUUUAUUGUGACUUAUUGUUUUAUGUUUCACUGUUAUGUCUUUUUUCCUUAGGGACUACGGAUGUAAAUUAGCAUUGUGCUAUAAUCUGGCAUAUUUACGCCCAUUUCGAAAUAAAUGGGCGUUCAUUAAUGUGCACUGUCCCUACCAAAUAAAUAAAUAAAUAAAUAAAUAAA